CAUGGGGUUUGCUAGGCUCCAGGUAGAGAAGCCGUUGUGUGCAUGGACAUCGUAGUGGAGGCAGGUGGGACAAAUCUGUCACAGUACCUGUGGUGUUUCUCAAGCCGUCAGUGAGGUCUGUGGAUGGAGAACACUGGCCCCCUCUGAGACAGGCAGAGCAAAGGAGCCCAAAGACAACCCGCCAGAGGAGGAGAACCAGGAGACAGGAGUGUCACACAAGCAAAAGGAGUAACAGGACUCUAAAAGGACGGAUGCCAGUGAUGUUAAAUCCGCUGACAAACGGGCACUCAGUAGGUGCCAAGGCUCUGUCACUUUUGAAUUGGGAAAGAAUCUUCAAGAGUCCACAGUCAAGUUGGAGGACAGAUGUGUAAUUAACAAGAGGCCAUACUGCAGUGGUUAAUAAUGAAAGUAUGCAACACUGUA
This is a long non-coding RNA of Suricata suricatta (meerkat), 423 nucleotides long. RefSeq lists it as uncharacterized. Lineage: Eukaryota; Metazoa; Chordata; Mammalia; Carnivora; Herpestidae. The record is from RefSeq and is a predicted model, not a curated record. The transcript has 2 exons.